GAAGAAACCAUUGCUACUUGAAACCAUAUAUGAAAAUAGAAGCAGAAUUUCCAGUUAUUUGUCGACUUAAGAAUAAGACUUGGAAAGUGUUACUGAUAUCCUUCAGAAUCAUUGAGAAAACAUUCAACUGCAAGGAGGCAAACCAUAAUUACUCGUAAACAUCUAUUAAAACGGAUGCAGAAUUUCCAGCUAUUUCUAAAAAUAUAAAAGCAGAGGAAAUGAAGCGCAUGCCAUCCCGAGAUCAACUUUCGUGAGUAGAUGGACCGAACAAAUCAAUCGCCAGAGAAUGGAACCAACCUGCCACAGCCUUUUGCAUGUAUCCUCGUCACAAGUAAAGUGUUGCCAGGCCAUGAACCUCUCUUAAAGUGCAAAAAUAGAACAAAUAUUUCCAGAAAGCAAGUUUUCUGAAGCUAUACAGAUGUAAACUACACAUAAUUUAUGUGAAAGCGUCUAUUAAGACAGAAGCGGGCUUUCCAGCUAUUUCUCAACACAAGAAAUUUACCUGAAUG
Molecule: long non-coding RNA, 509 nt
Organism: Argiope bruennichi
Lineage: Eukaryota; Metazoa; Arthropoda; Arachnida; Araneae; Araneidae
Exons: 3
Source: RefSeq, a predicted model, not a curated record